RNAcentral lists this non-coding RNA (27 nucleotides) under Homo sapiens (human). Lineage: Eukaryota; Metazoa; Chordata; Mammalia; Primates; Hominidae. The record is from RNAcentral.
UUGCAGUCUUGUGAACACUGUUGUGGU